AGAUUUCAAUUUCUCAAAAUC
Molecule: small nuclear RNA, 21 nt
Filed under: Arabidopsis thaliana (thale cress)
Lineage: Eukaryota; Viridiplantae; Streptophyta; Magnoliopsida; Brassicales; Brassicaceae
Description: snRNA_17497
Source: RNAcentral